This 2076-nucleotide long non-coding RNA is filed under the name Sus scrofa (pig). RNAcentral's name for it is "lncRNA (ENSSSCG00015014090.1)". The record is from RNAcentral. Lineage: Eukaryota; Metazoa; Chordata; Mammalia; Artiodactyla; Suidae.
UAUGGUAAGGGGGGGGUUACUUGUCUCGGUUUCCAUGACAACCAUGUCUCUACUCAUGGGUUAUUAGAUUCCAUCCACUUCCUGUGUCUAAAUUUUUAAGCCAAUCAGAAAAGUGUUUAUGCAUUUUACAACUUCUAGGACAGUGCUUCUUUAAUUGGGGCGUUUUAAGGCUCCAGUGGAGGUGUCUGCCAGCCUUAUAUUUUCUCUCGUACAGAUAGAACAAUUCACAAUAUUUACUAACUCAUAUUCUUUUAAGGUGAAGAAUGCCCUUUUUCUUGACUGUGAAAUGCAUUCUCCUCAAACCGGAUGCCACAAUUUCUUAUAACAAUGUGCAAACUGAUUUUGCUUGUUUGCUCCUGCUUGCCUUUCUCUUUCACUAUUACAGACUUAAAUCCAGUACGUGAUACAUGCUAACAAUGCACAAGACACUUAAAUGAUCCAAUGCUAAGUAAGGCUUCAGAUUUUAAAAAAAAAAAAAAAAAAGGUUAGGAAAAAUUAUUCUAAGUUUAACAACUUUGCAUUCUACAACUCCCGAGAAGAAAUCAUCAAGAAUGUAUUGUAAAGUGAUAUGUCUAUAAAUGCAAGCUAGGAGCUGACGUCUGCGAAGAAAUUUGUCACCAAAUGGCCUACUUUAUCUGGUUAGAGGCAACAACAAAAAAAUUAAACACAAAGGUACCUCAAGCAAACUGCACCCGAUUUCAACAUCAAGCUUGCAGAGAUCUGGGCACGAGAAGGCACGUCUGAAAUUACAGCACGAUUUUCAAAGAAGGUUUGGGGGUGACUGUUUUCCUAAGUCCCCAUGGAACUGACCAAUCAGUGCGAGGGAAGAGUGGGCUGUAGUCAUUUGUGCAAAUCUUCCCAGCUCUGCGAUCGCCCUUCUCUAAGGCAGAGCUGGCGAUCAAUGAAAAACUGGGAACAAAAGGAAUAUAACAGGAUGUCUUCCUUAGCUAAGGAAAAUGAUUCCCUUUUUCUUCAAUGAGCCCGUCGCACCCUGCCUACAACAGCUCCACAUGGGAGCUCCCGGCAGAACAGACCCUUGGGCUGAAGCCCAUUUUACAUGUGCAAUCAUGUGUCCCAACUGCUGGCAAAUGUGUCACCUUAAGCACAUCCUGUGACAGAGGGCUCCCCGAGCCCCACCAAUUGAAACUAACAAAUGAAAUAAAUUAAUAAUCCCACCAUGAAAAGCUGCCGAGAAAGACUGUGUUUCCCGUCCCCAAACGUCAAUCCGGGAGUAUAAACAAAGCAUGAAAAAUAGUCUCUUCAGCCUCCCUGGCCAGAGAGCACGGUUUUCUCCUCAAAACGGUGUUUCUCCAAAAAGAAAUAUUCCGACGGCCCUCAAAGGAAACUCCCAUCUGUAGAUGUCAUAUCAGGAUAACCAGUUACAGUAUUUGAAAAGAGGUUUAAACUGCCCACAGAUUGGACACUCUGUUUAUAAUUGAUAGCAAAACAGUUGCGACAGCAAUGCUGUAAACUCUGCCCGAGCCAAACUCCACCUUUAACACGUUAGUUCCUUGAAAAUAAAAGUAAUGCCAUGGGGUGGGGGGUGUCACAAAAGUAAAGACCUGGGAAGUAAUUAACAGAAUUACAGCAAUGAUUUGAUAAUUUUUAAAAUUAUCCAUUUGUCUGCUAUUUUUGAUUUUUUUAAAAAGGCGACUAUCCACAAAUUCCUGAGAAACUUUUUUUUUUUUUUUUAAUGAACUUACUUUUGAGACAAAACUAAUGAAAAUAUACAACUUGCCAUCCCUGGAUCGUUCCCAUUUGGACUGCAUGCUAUAAAUCAAUCUGAAACCAGGGGGAAAUACGGGGGCGGGCACCUUAAAAAAAAUCAAAGGGUGCCCCCAAAUGCAGCAGCCUGAACAGUGAGGGCUUCUCGUGACAAUGCUGAACCAGAGCAGAAGAUCAGGAGGCAGGAAAUGAGCCCCAUUUUCGUUACCUUCGAUCGCCUGCCCCCCCGCUGCUUCUCGCGGCCGCAUUGGGGGGCUGCGGCGGCGCUGGACUCGCGGGUGGCCCCGCCGCCGGGUCGCGCCGUCUCCCGGCCGAGCUGCAGCCGAUCGCGGCCGGAACCCCGGCUCCAGC